GCGCGGGUGGCGGAACUGGCAGACGCGUACGUUUGAGGUGCGUAUGCCGCAAGGCGUGAGGGUUCGAGUCCCUCCCCGCGCA
Molecule: transfer RNA, 82 nt
Filed under: Elusimicrobiota bacterium
Lineage: Bacteria; Pseudomonadati; Elusimicrobiota
Description: tRNA-Leu
Rfam family: tRNA
About the family: Transfer RNA (tRNA) molecules are approximately 80 nucleotides in length.
Source: RNAcentral